GAUGAACGCUGGCGGCGUGCCUAAUACAUGCAAGUCGAGCGAAUGGAUUAAGAGCUUGCUCUUAUGAAGUUAGCGGCGGACGGGUGAGUAACACGUGGGUAACCUGCCCAUAAGACUGGGAUAACUCCGGGAAACCGGGGCUAAUACCGGAUAACAUUUUGAACCGCAUGGUUCGAACUUGAAAGGCGGCUUCGGCUGUCACUUAUGGAUGGACCCGCGUCGCAUUAGCUAGUUGGCGAGGUAACGGCUCACCAAGGCAACGAUGCGUAGCCGACCGGAGAGGGUGAUCGGCCACACUGGGACUGAGACACGGCCCAGACUCCUACGGGAGGCAGCAGUAGGGAAUCUUCCGCAAUGGACGAAAGUCUGACGGAGCAACGCCGCGUGAGUGAUGAAGGCUUUCGGGUCGUAAAACUCUGUUGUUAGGGAAGAACAAGUGCUAGUUGAAUAAGCUGGCACCUUGACGGUACCUAACCAGAAAGCCACGGCUAACUACGUGCCAGCAGCCGCGGUAA
This 515-nucleotide ribosomal RNA is filed under the name uncultured bacterium. RNAcentral describes it as "partial 16S ribosomal RNA". It matches the Rfam family "Bacterial small subunit ribosomal RNA", at positions 28 to 523 of the family's 1533-position model. The record is from RNAcentral.